GACGAACGCUGGCGGCGUGCUUAACACAUGCAAGUCGAACGGAAAGGCCCUGCUUUUGUGGGGUGCUCGAGUGGCGAACGGGUGAGUAACACGUGAGUAACCUGCCCUUGACUUUGGGAUAACUUCAGGAAACUGGGGCUAAUACCGGAUAGGAGCUCCUGCUGCAUGGUGGGGGUUGGAAAGUUUCGGCGGUUGGGGAUGGACUCGCGGCUUAUCAGCUUGUUGGUGGGGUAGUGGCUUACCAAGGCUUUGACAGGUAGCCGGCCUGAGAGGGUGACCGGCCACAUUGGGACUGAGAUACGGCCCAGACUCCUACGGGAGGCAGCAGUGGGGAAUAUUGCACAAUGGGCGGAAGCCUGAUGCAGCAACGCCGCGUGCGGGAUGAAGGCCUUCGGGUUGUAAACCGCUUUCGCCUGUGACGAAGCGUGAGUGACGGUAAUGGGUAAAGAAGCACCGGCUAACUACGUG
RNAcentral lists this ribosomal RNA (468 nucleotides) under uncultured bacterium. RNAcentral's name for it is "partial 16S ribosomal RNA". It matches the Rfam family "Bacterial small subunit ribosomal RNA", at positions 28 to 507 of the family's 1533-position model. The record is from RNAcentral.